This 957-nucleotide ribosomal RNA is filed under the name uncultured bacterium. Its description in RNAcentral is "bacterial SSU rRNA". It matches the Rfam family "Bacterial small subunit ribosomal RNA", at positions 76 to 1037 of the family's 1533-position model. The record is from RNAcentral.
UCCUUCGGGAGCGAGUACNGUGGCGGACGGGUCNNUNANNNGUAAACAACCUGCCUUCAAGCGGAGGAUAACCACGGGAAAAUGUGGCUAAUACUGCAUAACGUCUAGAGGCCGCAUGGCCCCUAGAUCAAAGCCUUCGGGCGCUUGAAGAUGGGUUUGCGUCGGAUUAGCUCGUUGGUGAGGUAACGGCUCACCAAGGCAACGAUCCGUAGCUGGUCUGAGAGGAUGAUCAGUCACACUGGCACUGAGACACGGUCCAGACUCCUACGGGAGGCAGCAGUGGGGAAUCUUAGGCAAUGGGGGAAACCCUGACCUAGCCAUGCCGCGUGGAGGAAGACACCCCUAUGGGGCGUAAACUCCUUUUCUGCCGGAAGAAAACCCUGUUUUUCAGGGCGUGACGGUACGGCAGGAAUAAGCACCGGCUAAUUCCGUGCCAGCAGCCGCGGUAAUACGGAGGGUGCAAGCGUUGUCCGGAAUCACUGGGCGUAAAGGGUGCGCAGGCGGAACAGCAAGUCGGAGGUGAAAGCCCACGGCUUAACCGUGGAAGUGCCUUCGAAACUGCUGUUCUUGAGUCCCAGAGAGGUCGCCGGAAUUCGUGGUGUAGCGGUGAACUGCGUAGAUAUCACGAGGAACACCAGAGGCGUAAGCGGGCGACUGGAUGGGUACUGACGCUGAGNCACGAGAGCGUGGGGAGCAAACAGGAUUAGAUACCCUGGUAGUCCACGCCGUAAACGAUGGAUGCUCGCCGUUGUCCCAUUCUAGGGGGCAGUGGCUAAGCUAACGCGUUAAGCAUCCCGCCUGGGGAGUACGANCGUCAGGGUGAACUCAAGGUAUUGAGGGGGGCCUGCACAGCGUGGAGCAUGUGGCUAUUCNAUGCACGCGAGACCUUACUAGGCUCGAACGCUACGGACCGUNCGGAGAGGACUUCCCCAGGCCUGGNAGGAGGGCUGCAGGCUG